GUCCAAGCCGUUCCUGCCAGCACCUCACCCUCCCACCUCAGCGUCACACACCAGCCUACCUGAAUGCUGCAGGCAGCCCACCGCCAGCCUCCAUCUUUGUCUCUAGAAGGGCUUUAACGGCCUGUAACACCUACACAGCAUGAGGAGAGAUGUACAGUCUGACUCCUGCCCUAGGGGUGCAGCUGCACCAGGUGGUGAUGGUGGUGAGGUAAUCAGUGUGGCCUUGCCCAUAACAGCCCCACAUGUGGGAGCAGAGCCUGAGCUGCCGCCCCUCAGCAAAGAGCGCUCUGUGGGCAGGCAGCAGUGGAUUUUAUCCAGCUCUACUUCAGAAGAUCCUGCUGAGGGAAGGUCCAGUAUCAUCACAGAUGCCCAGCAUGGAAAAUAUUCAUGUUGUGAGGAUUUGGGAUGUACUCUUCCUCGGAUUGCACUGCAUCCUGCUGAAUUUAGGCUUUAGAACACUUUUUAGAUAAUAUGCUCCUGGUGAACGAAGGCUCCUGUCCAACAGAAAUUCUGCAUCAAAAGCAAGCCACUGUGCAGUUUGUACAUGUAAAAUGCAAUGCCUUCACCUUUGCCUUUCAGCCCUCUGAGGCUGAAAUGGACAGAUUAGAAUCAGUUGCUGUGCACUGUGGGGAUAAUCUUUAUCACAUUAACCUUUUUUUUUUUCAUAGAGCAGAGGAAGGCUGGUGUGUCAUGGGCUUCAGUAUAUUGUAAGCAAUAGAAUUGGCGCAGUAACGGGGAGCAGCUCAGCAAGAUUUUCAUGAAGUUUUAUGGUCUCCCUGAACCUAAAUAAUAUGUGGUGCUUAUGUGUACCAGUGACUUUAUUGAAACACCAGUUGUCCAAUGUUGAAAUUUUAUAAGAAUAGUAAGCUAAUUCAGUGAAGAAUAAUACUUAAUUUAAAGAUAACGUUAUUGGCUCUCAUUCAAGAUGGAUGAUUUAUGGAAAUGGAAGACUCUGUUGUUGUUGUUGUUUUCCUUCAUCUUAUAGUUCUUUGUGUUACAGCACAGACUGUGCAUCUUACCUGUACUGCUGCUGCUGUAGAAAGCUGUAGUUCUCUUGGCUCUCUGUAGAUUUGAGUAGUUUUAAGUCAUGCAGCAUUAACUGGUAAAAUCUGUGAUUUCUUUGCUCCCAUUUUUUUAGCUGUUUACAAUUAAUAAAUAAACCACUGAGGUUCA
This 1173-nucleotide long non-coding RNA is filed under the name Phasianus colchicus (ring-necked pheasant). RNAcentral describes it as "lncRNA (ENSPCLG00000008125.1)". The record is from RNAcentral. Lineage: Eukaryota; Metazoa; Chordata; Aves; Galliformes; Phasianidae.